AGUAAGGUCAGCUAAAUAAGCUUUUGGGCCCAUACCCCAAACAUGUUGGUUAGAGUCCUUCCUUUACUA
RNAcentral lists this transfer RNA (69 nucleotides) under Anatolichthys sureyanus. RNAcentral describes it as "Aphanius sureyanus tRNA-Met". It matches the Rfam family "tRNA". Rfam says of the family: Transfer RNA (tRNA) molecules are approximately 80 nucleotides in length. Lineage: Eukaryota; Metazoa; Chordata; Actinopteri; Cyprinodontiformes; Aphaniidae. RNAcentral also lists the same sequence under 1 other name. The record is from RNAcentral.